UACGUAGGGUGCGAGCGUUAAUCGGAAUUACUGGGCGUAAAGCGUGCGCAGGCGGUCUGUUAAGACCGAUGUGAAAUCCCCGGGCUUAACCUGGGAACUGCAUUGGUGACUGGCAGGCUUUGAGUGUGGCAGAGGGAGGUAGAAUUCCACGUGUAGCAGUGAAACGCGUAGAGAUGUGGAGGAAUACCGAUGGCGAAGGCAGCCUCCUGGGCCAACACUGACGCUCAUGCACGAAAGCGUGGGGAGCAAACAGG
RNAcentral lists this ribosomal RNA (254 nucleotides) under uncultured bacterium. RNAcentral describes it as "partial 16S ribosomal RNA". It matches the Rfam family "Bacterial small subunit ribosomal RNA", at positions 524 to 776 of the family's 1533-position model. The record is from RNAcentral.